GCCACUGCCGCAGUUAUAAGUGCUAGGGCAAGGCCGCGCAGAUCUUGUGAGGUGUGGCCAUCGGGAUCCAUUGAAACGGUCGGUCCUUGUUGCGACAGACACAUGGCAACAUGCGCGAAGCUCCAUUACGAGCCCCGUACUCAUCCCGAGGCGGAGUCUAACGAUGAUGGCGUCUUCCGCACGCGCGCGCUCGCCCUCCGGUGAUAACGGCUCGGCGCGAAACGCCAUUCCGGUUUACCGGCGACUUCGACUUCGGGCAGCGCCUGCCGCGGUUGCCGAUGGCCGUUCACCUCAAUCCUUCUGCGCACGCGACCUUGGUCCUGCGGCUGCCGCUCUGGGGCGAGGGGGCGAGCAGCGGCGUGCGCCCAAGCUGAUCGCUCUUCCCCCGUCGCCGCCGGGAGCCCUCGCACUCGCGACGCUCUUUUCGCGCGAAGACAAGUGCACGGAAGGGGGCACGGCGAGCCGGUCUCGGAGGAGCAGCCACCGAAAGGGAAAGGAGAAGCCGCUUUGUUCAGACCGCACGAGAACCGCACGAUGCCGGGGAAGAGCAACACGGGAGGCUCCAAGGACAACGACCGAUGGAAGGUGAAGGCGAUUCCGUUUCCCCCGUCGGCGGAGAGGAGGGACACAGGCUUCCGGGAAUACCACCCCGGCGUGCUGCAUCCUCGCUCGGGAGGCAGCAGUCCGACCUCGCCGCAGCCAAGCCAAGGCGGAUGGAAAUACUCAUGAAGUUGGGACCGAGCCUGCAGAAAGCUGGGGCCAUCUCUACGGGAAUUAGCGUUCUUCAAGCGCAGUGGACAGUCACCGUGUGCUAUACUCAUCGCCGUGUUGUGUGCUGUAUAUAAUGUUGAGAAGGCGCUCUUUCAACGCCGGCUUUUUAUGUCUGCAUUCACAGGGUCGGCGCGGUUCUUAUGUGAAGGAUGUGUACUAUAAAGGAUAGCGUUUCUUGCUUUUAAGCCCAUGUUACUAUCUCCAAAAGUUAAUUAUGUGUUCGCGGAUGUAGGUGCAAACCAUGCUCGUGGUCUUUCUUCUCGCUGCCGUCUUCUCUAUCUAUGCUGUUUUUUCCUGCCGAAACCGUCUUUCUCUUUAAACAGGGGAGUGCCGCUAUAGUUCUCCAAAGACCAGCUUUUCAUGUUUCGCUGAUGUUACUCAAAAUUACAUAAUGGCACUGUCCGCUCCACUGCCUUGAACUGAGUUGCUGAGAUGGACGUUUUCUUUCUUUCUUUCUUUCUUUCUUUCUUUCUUUCUUUCUUUCUUUCUUUCUUUCUUUCUUUCUUUCUUGUUUGCGUUCCCAUUUUCUUUGUUGCGUAACAACACUCCACAGAUGUGCAACUUAUCCCUCCUAGUAAUUCAUUAUAUGCGCGAAUGUAAAGUUUUUCUCAGAGGCGAUUUGUAUGAAUCGACCGCCGAGUUUCAUCUGUUCUCUAGCCGUUUUCGUUUACCUUGUACAUGAGUAUUAUUUUGGAGAAGUGCUGUAAAUAAGCUUUUAAAAGAACAUUCAGGGUUUCCCACGUAGACGUCCAAGCAUUAAAAUAAAAGUUGUGCGUUAGUCAAACCAACGCAGUGGAUGGUACGGUCUUGCGCGUAAGCACACAAUUAAUGAGCCAUUAUUACACAUAUUUUUCUUAUCCGCUUGCGCGACUAAAGUAGUGUGCAAGAGCGACCGUAUAUAUAGUGAGAUUCUGAGUUCUUCUGAACUCUGAUAUUUCUUUAAUUAUCGCUUACGUGUAGAACUUAAAAAAAAGCUAUAAUUUCAACCAAACUUCCGAACAUUUAUUUAGGCUAAUGACAUAAUCGAUAAACAGCGGGAACUAUUUCAUAUAUCUUCUUUUUAAUGCACCCGCAGUGAAUUACAUUUAUCUCAUUCUAUUUCUUUUCAUAUGCUUUUGACCGACUUGAACGAGACACACUGCAUUUUUGUGAGUGUUAUCUCCGCUGCUGGAUUAAGAGAAUUCGCGAUGGAGAGAGCCAAGGGGGCUGCAUCCUAAGUCUCACCUCUGACUGUAGCGAAAGAGAGACCAUUCCAUUUAUCUUGAAUCGUUUUCUUUUUUUAGAAAACUGCGUGCACAAUUGACAAACGGAAUGAGCAUGGUCAUUAUUAGCUCAGAACAGGAAUUACCAAAAGUAUCUUUCUUUAAUUAACAGAACAAUGAAUGAAGAACAACUUCUUCCCUGGCUUUCUAUAUGCGAUAUACGCAUACAGUGUGUCUCAACUAUCAUGCACCAAGAUUUAAAAAUAUACGAAUGACACGUAGCUGGACAAAACCAAGGUAAAGUUGUUUGCCGUUGCUUGGAGAUACUCAGAUUAUUUAUUUUUUUCUUACAUUCCGCCUAAUUACAUAAUCGGUCUCAAUUAAGUAAUCAACUUCUCAAACAAUAUGUUUCGAUGAGAAGUGUCCACGAGAAAAUUGUAGAGCAACAUGAAAAACUCAAGAUACAGCUUUCUGUUGCUCAAUACGUGCUUCAUAAAAGUGUUUUUCCGAGCGUGAAAAAAGACCGCGAAUACACGCAAAAUUUCCGCGCGACUGGCCGCUCGAGGCACUUCGCGAGGCACCUCUUAAAAACGAAAAGCUUUGUGAAUUUGGCCCCUGAUGCCCAGUCCACAAAACUCUGCACUUUCUUGCUUUUGAGAGCUAUUGCGAAGAAAUAAGAGUUAGGAAGCAUAGAAACUUCCAACAUGUUCUAGUGCCGCUGAAAGAUAUAAACCUUCAACUUGCCUUUGUUCCCCCUUUUUUGCCGAUGCAAAAGAUGGAAGGAGAGGAGCAGUUCUAUAGUGACGUCGAAACUAUGAGUUGUAAAAUGCCGUGGAAGCGCGUUACUGGCAUGUUCUGUUCACAACAAAUCGUUGCUGAUUAGUUGAGUGUUCAAUUUUAUACGCCUGUUUUUGAUCGUCUCUUUCGGCAAGCGGCCAUGCAUAAAUUUGAAAACGUUAACGCAGUGCAUCUGUUUGCACAGCGUGGAACGCCUGCAGUUGGUGCCACGGUCGCUACUUAUCAUUUUCAGAUUGCGUGAAGCGUGCCAAGAUGUUCUUUUCUUUUUUUUUUCGGUAACUGGAGUAUCUAAACUGUUGCUUCUCUAGGUCGUAGGAACAGGUAGUCCCACCGUAUACGCGUGUAAGCGCCAGCAGUGCUCUGCGUUUACUAUGCAUAUAGAAUAUGUGGAAGCUGUAUUGGCCCCCUAAAAAAAAUGUUUUUUUUUAAUUGCACGACGCUUAAGCUUCGCAAGAGUGGAACGCGAUAGCAUUCAGAGAUCCUUGACUGCUUCUCACGCUUUCCGGCAACUGCAGAUUAUGUAACUGUAAUGUUUACCGGGAAACGCUGGCGGCGAACGCUAUGCCCGAAAGCGAGCUUCGUGGUAGAAACUCAGCCUCUUGCGUGGGCCGAUCCCGGAGGUUGUAUACAGCCGCGCCAAAAAAUUACAUCAUUUUCAGGUUUCUGUUAUUGUUUCGCAUUUUUAAUAUUUAAGUCUGAGAAGAUUUAACGUAAAAGCCAUGCGCUGUCGGUGUUUUGUUUCGUGACAUUUGUUUGUGGACGGUGAUUCUCAAAAUUUCGAGGAAUAACUUUGUCAAGAAUGUAAGACAAGGUAUGAGCAACUUUCGUCAUAGAAUGGCGUGGCAGUGUAACCCGCAUAUACAGCAUGUCUUAUAGCCAGGCGUGGUAUAUGCUUAUACCUGAAUAUAUACGGAAAUUUUCGCUCGCGGAGAACUCCGCCGACACCGGAUCUUCUGCGCCACAUGCAGAGGCCUUAGCGCUUUUGCGUUAAAACAUGCAGCGGUAUACAGAAUCGCUGGUUUGAAUGUAACGCUUUUAAAAUGGGGGUAACACCGUACCGCUAAUUCUCUUUCGAGAGACUGUCCGACACGUGUCCUUGAAGAAGCGUCGAAGAGAACAGUGAGAAAAGGUUGGGGAAUUCACGACCCUUUUAUUGUUUGUUUCUUCUUUGGCGAAGUAAAAAAUGGUUGUCUGACGGCCCAUGGAAUCCAAAGGCUUCAAAAAAGACUUGACGUGUCGAGAAGCAGGCAGACAAGGCCCGCUCCAUCGGAAGCGCACGAGGACCAAUUGAAAAUUAAGCUGCAUUUAUUGCGUUCAUAGACUCAACGUUUCUUGGUGUUGCUUUCCUUGUUUACUUUUAUCGCUGUCUUCCUCACUCGUCCUGAUGGCAAAACAAGAGAAGGGAAGAAAACAAAUGUUAGCGAAGUCACUUCCUGUGAGAGAACCCGCCAUGUGACAUGUGAAUUGUCGCUGUUCUAAAAAAAAAAAAAAAGCUGUGUCUGUCUUUCUUUUGCUCCAUCUAAACUUGAAAACUGUGCUACCGAAAUUAAAAUGUAUGUUCAUUUGCUGCCCA
Molecule: long non-coding RNA, 4344 nt
Organism: Dermacentor albipictus
Lineage: Eukaryota; Metazoa; Arthropoda; Arachnida; Ixodida; Ixodidae
Source: RefSeq, a predicted model, not a curated record